UCUAACCAGGGCCUGAUUUAGACCUGGGACACCAGGUGGGUGAUUCCCCUCUAACCAGGGCCUGAUUUAGACCUGGGACACCAGGUGGGUGAUUCCCCUCUAACCAGGGACUGAUUUAGACCUGGGACACCAGGUGGGUGAUUCCCCUCUAAUCAGGGACUGAUUUAGACCUGGGACACCAGGUGGGUGAUUCCCCUCUAACCAGGGACUGAUUUAGACCUGGGACACCAGGUGGGUGAUUCCCCUCUAAUCAGGGACUGAUUUAGACCUGGGACACCAGGUGGGUGAUUCCCCUCUAAUCAGGGACUGAUUUAGACCUGGGACACCAGGUGGGUGAUUCCCCUCUAAUCAGGGACUGAUUUAGACCUGGGACACCAGGUGGGUGAUUCCCCUCUAAUCAGGGACUGAUUUAGACCUGGGACACCAGGUGGGUGAUUCCCCUCUAAUCAGGGACUGAUUUAGACCUGGGACACCAGGUGGGUGAUUCCCCUCUAAUCAGGGACUGGUUUAGACCUGGGACACCAGGUGGGUGAUUCCCCUCUAAUCAGGGACUGAUUUAGACCUGGGACACCAGGUGGGUGAUUCCCCUCUAAUCAGGGACUGGUUUAGACCUGGGACACCAGGUGGGUGAUUCCCCUCUAAUCAGGGACUGAUUUAGACCUGGGACACCAGGUGGGUGAUUCCCCUCUAAUCAGGGACUGAUUUAGACCUGGGACACCAGGUGGGUGAUUCCCCUCUAAUCAGGGACUGAUUUAGACCUGGGACACCAGGUGGGUGAUUCCCCUCUAAUCAGGGACUGAUUUAGACCUGGGACACCAGGUGGGUGAUUCCCCUCUAAUCAGGGACUGAUUUAGACCUGGGACACCAGGUGGGUGAUUCCCCUCUAAUCAGGGACUGAUUUAGACCUGAGA
Long non-coding RNA from Oncorhynchus keta (chum salmon), 911 nucleotides. RefSeq lists it as uncharacterized. The transcript has 3 exons. NCBI's taxonomy places the organism in Eukaryota, Metazoa, Chordata, Actinopteri, Salmoniformes, Salmonidae. The record is from RefSeq and is a predicted model, not a curated record.